RNAcentral lists this ribosomal RNA (497 nucleotides) under uncultured bacterium. RNAcentral's name for it is "partial 16S ribosomal RNA". It matches the Rfam family "Bacterial small subunit ribosomal RNA", at positions 28 to 507 of the family's 1533-position model. The record is from RNAcentral.
GACGAACGCUGGCGGCGUGCCUAAUACAUGCAAGUAGAACGCUGAAGAGAGGAGCUUGCUCUUCUUGGAUGAGUUGCGAACGGGUGAGUAACGCGUAGGUAACCUGCCUUGUAGCGGGGGAUAACUAUUGGAAACGAUAGCUAAUACCGCAUAACAAUGGAUGACACAUGUCAUUUAUUUGAAAGGGGCAAUUGCUCCACUACAAGAUGGACCUGCGUUGUAUUAGCUAGUAGGUGAGGUAAUGGCUCACCUAGGCGACGAUACAUAGCCGACCUGAGAGGGUGAUCGGCCACACUGGGACUGAGACACGGCCCAGACUCCUACGGGAGGCAGCAGUAGGGAAUCUUCGGCAAUGGGGGCAACCCUGACCGAGCAACGCCGCGGGAGGGAAGAAGGGUUUCGGAUCGUAAAGCUCUGUUGUAAGUCAAGAACGGGUGUGAGAGUGGAAAGUUCACACUGUGACGGUAGCUUACCAGAAAGGGACGGCUAACUACGUG